GACGAACGCUGGCGGCGUGCUUAACACAUGCAAGUCGAGCGGUAAGGCCCUUUCGGGGGUACACGAGCGGCGAACGGGUGAGUAACACGUGGGUGACCUGCCCUCAGCUCUGGGAUAAGCCUGGGAAACUGGGUCUAAUACUGGAUAUGACUCCACGGUGCAUGUCGUGGGGUGGAAAGCCUUGUGCGGCUGAGGAUGGGCCCGCGGCCUAUCAGCUUGUUGGUGGGGNGAUGGCCUACCAAGGCGACGACGGGUAGGCCGGCC
Molecule: ribosomal RNA, 264 nt
Filed under: uncultured bacterium
Lineage: Bacteria
Description: partial 16S ribosomal RNA
Rfam family: Bacterial small subunit ribosomal RNA
Source: RNAcentral